AGAGUUUGAUCAUGGCUCAGGAUGAACGCUAGCGGCAGGCUUAACACAUGCAAGUCGAGGGGUAGAAGUCUUCGGACUUUGAGACCGGCGCACGGGUGCGUAACGCGUAUGCAAUCUGCCUUGUACAGAGGGACAGCCCAGAGAAAUUUGGAUUAAUACCUCAUAGUAUACUGAUGUGGCAUCACAUUACUAUUAAAGAUUUAUCGGUACAAGAUGAGCAUGCGUCCCAUUAGCUAGUUGGUAUGGUAACGGCAUACCAAGGCAAUGAUGGGUAGGGGUCCUGAGAGGGAGAUCCCCCACACUGGUACUGAGACACGGACCAGACUCCUACGGGAGGCAGCAGUGAGGAAUAUUGGACAAUGGGCGCAAGCCUGAUCCAGCCAUGCCGCGUGCAGGAUGACGGUCCUAUGGAUUGUAAACUGCUUUUGUACGGGAAGAAACACCUCUACGUGUAGAGGCUUGACGGUACCGUAAGAAUAAGGAUCGGCUAACUCCGUGCCAGCCGCCGCGGUAAUAC
This 517-nucleotide ribosomal RNA is filed under the name uncultured bacterium. RNAcentral describes it as "bacterial SSU rRNA". It matches the Rfam family "Bacterial small subunit ribosomal RNA", at positions 8 to 526 of the family's 1533-position model. The record is from RNAcentral.